RNAcentral lists this unclassified non-coding RNA (87 nucleotides) under Pseudomonas arsenicoxydans. The record is from RNAcentral. Lineage: Bacteria; Pseudomonadati; Pseudomonadota; Gammaproteobacteria; Pseudomonadales; Pseudomonadaceae.
UGUGGGAGCGGGCUUGCCCGCGAUGAAAUCGCUGCGGUCUAUCAGCUGCACCGCGGUGAUUCCAUCGCGGGCAAGCCCGCUCCCACA